UUAAUACUCCCUCCGUCCCAAAAUUCUUGUCUUAAGUUUGUCUAUAAAUGGAUGUAUUUAAAUACUAAAACGUGAAUAGAUCAUAUUUAAACAAAUCUAAGACAAGAAUUUUGGAAGGGAUGAAGUAUAUA
Non-coding RNA from Hordeum vulgare subsp. vulgare (domesticated barley), 131 nucleotides. The record is from Rfam. Lineage: Eukaryota; Viridiplantae; Streptophyta; Magnoliopsida; Poales; Poaceae.